GUAGUCCACGCUGUAAACGAUGUCGAUUUGGAGGUUGUGCCCUUGAGGCGUGGCUUCCGGAGCUAACGCGUUAAAUCGACCGCCUGGGGAGUACGGCCGCAAGGUUAAAACUCAAAUGAAUUGACGGGGGCCCGCACAAGCGGUGGAGCAUGUGGUUUAAUUCGAUGCAACGCGAAGAACCUUACCUACUCUUGACAUCCAGAGAACUUUCCAGAGAUGGAUUGGUGCCUUCGGGAACUCUGAGACAGGUGCUGCAUGGCUGUCGUCAGCUCGUGUUGUGAAAUGUUGGGUUAAGUCCCGCAACGAGCGCAACCCUUAUCCUUUGUUGCCAGCGGUUCGGCCGGGAACUCAAAGGAGACUGCCAGUGAUAAACUGGAGGAAGGUGGGGAUGACGUCAAGUCAUCAUGGCCCUUACGAGUAGGGCUACACACGUGCUACAAUGGCAUAUACAAAGAGAAGCGACCUCGCGAGAGCAAGCGGACCUCAUAAAGUAUGUCGUAGUCCGGAUUGGAGUCUGCAACUCGACUCCAUGAAGUCGGAAUCGCUAGUAAUCGUAGAUCAGAAUGCUACGGUGAAUACGUUCCCGGGCCUUGUACACACCGCCCGUCACACCAUGGGAGUGGGUUGCAAAAGAAGUAGGUAGCUUAACCUUCGGGAGGGCGCUUACCACUUUGUGAUUCA
RNAcentral lists this ribosomal RNA (681 nucleotides) under uncultured Serratia sp. Its description in RNAcentral is "bacterial SSU rRNA". It matches the Rfam family "Bacterial small subunit ribosomal RNA", at positions 790 to 1471 of the family's 1533-position model. Lineage: Bacteria; Pseudomonadati; Pseudomonadota; Gammaproteobacteria; Enterobacterales; Yersiniaceae. The record is from RNAcentral.